Molecule: ribosomal RNA, 373 nt
Filed under: uncultured organism
Description: partial 16S ribosomal RNA
Rfam family: Bacterial small subunit ribosomal RNA
Source: RNAcentral
GGGGGGGGCAAGCGUUGUUCGGAAUUACUGGGCGUAAAGGGCGCGUAGGCGGACGAGACAGUCUUUCGUGAAAUCCCACGGGCUCAACCGUGGAACUGCGGCAGAUACUACUCGUCUUGAGUUCGGGAGAGGAGUGUGGAAUUCCCAGUGUAGCGGUGAAAUGCGUAGAUAUUGGGAGGAACACCGGUGGCGAAGGCGGCACUCUGGACCGAUACUGACGCUGAGGCGCGAAAGCUAGGGGAGCAAACGGGAUUAGAUACCCCGGUAGUCCUAGCUGUAAACGAUGAGCACUUGGUGUAGCGGGUAUCGACCCCUGCUGUGCCGGAGUUAACGCAUUAAGUGCUCCGCCUGGGGAGUACGGUCGCAAAGGCUG